AGCUACAGGCUUAACACAUGCAAGUCGAGGGGCAGCAUGGUCUUAGCUUGCUAAGGCCGAUGGCGACCGGCGCACGGGUGAGUAACACGUAUCCAACCUGCCGUCUACUCUUGGACAGCCUUCUGAAAGGAAGAUUAAUACGAGAUGGCAUCAUGAGUCCGCAUGUUCACAUGAUUAAAGGUAUUCCGGUAGACGAUGGGGAUGCGUUCCAUUAGAUAGUAGGCGGGGUAACGGCCCACCUAGUCUUCGAUGGAUAGGGGUUCUGAGAGGAAGGUCCCCCACAUUGGAACUGAGACACGGUCCAAACUCCUACGGGAGGCAGCAGUGAGGAAUAUUGGUCAAUGGGCGAGAGCCUGAACCAGCCAAGUAGCGUGAAGGAUGACUGCCCUAUGGGUUGUAAACUUCUUUUAUAAAGGAAUAAAGUCGGGUAUGGAUACCCGUUUGCAUGUACUUUAUGAAUAAGGAUCGGCUAACUCCGUGCCAGCAGCCGCGGUAAUACGGAGGAUCCGAGCGUUAUCCGGAUUUAUUGGGUUUAAAGGGAGCGUAGAUGGAUGUUUAAGUCAGUUGUGAAAGUUUGCGGCUCAACCGUAAAAUUGCAGUUGAUACUGGAUAUCUUGAGUGCAGUUGAGGCAGGCGGAAUUCGUGGUGUAGCGGUGAAAUGCUUAGAUAUCACGAAGAACUCCGAUUGCGAAGGCAGCCUGCUAAGCUGCAACUGACAUUGAGGCUCGAAAGUGUGGGUAUCAAACAGGAUUAGAUACCCUGGUAGUCCACACGGUAAACGAUGAAUACUCGCUGUUUGCGAUAUACUGCAAGCGGCCAAGCGAAAGCGUUAAGUAUUCCACCUGGGGAGUACGCCGGCAACGGUGAAACUCAAAGGAAUUGACGGGGGCCCGCACAAGCGGAGGAACAUGUGGUUUAAUUCGAUGAUACGCGAGGAACCUUACCCGGGCUUAAAUUGCAGAUGAAUUACGGUGAAAGCCGUAAGCCGCAAGGCAUCUGUGAAGGUGCUGCAUGGUUGUCGUCAGCUCGUGCCGUGAGGUGUCGGCUUAAGUGCCAUAACGAGCGCAACCCUUGUUGUCAGUUACUAACAGGUCAUGCUGAGGACUCUGACAAGACUGCCAUCGUAAGAUGUGAGGAAGGUGGGGAUGACGUCAAAUCAGCACGGCCCUUACGUCCGGGGCUACACACGUGUUACAAUGGGGGGUACAGAGGGCCGCUACUACGCGAGUGGAUGCCAAUCCCCAAAACCUCUCUCAGUUCGGACUGGAGUCUGCAACCCGACUCCACGAAGCUGGAUUCGCUAGUAAUCGCGCAUCAGCCACGGCGCGGUGAAUACGCUCCCGGGCCUUGUACACACCGCCCGUCAAGCCAUGGGAGCCGGGGGUACCUGAAGUGCGUAACCGCGAGGAGCGCCCUAGGGUAAAACUGGUGACUGGGGCUAAAU
This 1444-nucleotide ribosomal RNA is filed under the name uncultured organism. Its description in RNAcentral is "SSU rRNA". It matches the Rfam family "Bacterial small subunit ribosomal RNA". The record is from RNAcentral.